RNAcentral lists this ribosomal RNA (440 nucleotides) under uncultured bacterium. RNAcentral's name for it is "partial 16S ribosomal RNA". It matches the Rfam family "Bacterial small subunit ribosomal RNA", at positions 338 to 795 of the family's 1533-position model. The record is from RNAcentral.
CCUACGUGAGGCAGCAGUGGGGAAUAUUGCACAAUGGGGGAAACCCUGAUGCAGCGACGCCGCGUGAGUGAAGAAGUAUUUCGGUAUGUAAAGCUCUAUCAGUCGGGAAGAAAAUAACGGUACCUGAUUACGAAUCCCCGGCUAACUACGUGCCAGCAGCCGCGGUAAUACGUAGGGGGCAAGCGUGAUCCGGAUUUACUGGGGGUAAAGGGAGCUUCGACGGAAGCCUAAGGCUGGAGUUAAAUGGCGGGGGUUAACCCCGGAACUGCUGUGGAAACUGGGCAGCUAGAGUGGAGGAGAGGUAAGUGGAAUGCGUGGUGUAGCGGUGAAAUGCGUAGAUAUUACGAGGAACACCAGUGGCGAAGGCGGCUUACUGGACUGUAACUGACGUUGAGGCUCGAAAGCGUGGGGAGCAAACAGGAUUAGAUACCCGAGUAGUC